GAGAAAGAACGCAAGAACUGCUAACUCAUGCCCCCAUGCCUAAUAACCUGGCUUUCUCA
Molecule: transfer RNA, 59 nt
Filed under: Cacajao calvus (bald uakari)
Lineage: Eukaryota; Metazoa; Chordata; Mammalia; Primates; Pitheciidae
Also listed under: 3 other names
Description: tRNA-Ser
Source: RNAcentral